AUACGUAGGGUGCAAGCGUUAAUCGGAAUUACUGGGCGUAAAGCGUGCGCAGGCGGUUUUGUAAGACAGUGGUGAAAUCCCCGGGCUCAACCUGGGAACUGCCAUUGUGACUGCAAGGCUGGAGUGCGGCAGAGGGGGAUGGAAUUCCGCGUGUAGCAGUGAAAUGCGUAGAUAUGCGGAGGAACACCGAUGGCGUAGGCAAUCCCCUGGGCCUGCACUGACGCUCAUGCACGAAAGCGUGGGGAGCAAACAGGAUUAGAUACCCUGGUAGUCCACGCCCUAAACGAUGUCAACUGGUUGUUGGGGAUUUAUUUUCUCAGUAACGAAGCUAACGCGUGAAGUUGACCGCCUGGGGAGUACGGCCGCAAGGUUAAAACUCAAAGGAAUUGACGGGG
This 395-nucleotide ribosomal RNA is filed under the name uncultured bacterium. RNAcentral's name for it is "partial 16S ribosomal RNA". It matches the Rfam family "Bacterial small subunit ribosomal RNA", at positions 523 to 918 of the family's 1533-position model. The record is from RNAcentral.